This 260-nucleotide ribosomal RNA is filed under the name uncultured archaeon. RNAcentral describes it as "partial 16S ribosomal RNA". It matches the Rfam family "Archaeal small subunit ribosomal RNA", at positions 748 to 1008 of the family's 1478-position model. The record is from RNAcentral.
AGGGUGUAAACGCUGCAGACUUGGUGUUGGAAGUCCUUUGGGGGCAUUCAGUGCCGGAGAGAAGUUGUUAAGUCUGCUACUUGGGGAGUACGUCCGCAAGGAUGAAACUUAAAGGAAUUGGCGGGGGAGCACCGCAACGGGAGGAGCGUGCGGUUUAAUUGGAUUCAACACCGUAAACUCACCAGGGAAGACUGUUACAUGAAAGCCGAGAUGAAGACUCUGCUAGACUUUCAGAGAGGAGGUGCAUGGCGUCAGUGACU